UUCCGGUUGAUCCCGCCGGAGGUUACUGCUAUCGAGGUUCGACUAAGCCAUGCGAGUCGAAUGUAGCAAUACAUGGCGAACUGCUCAGUAACACGUGGACAACCUGCCCUUAGGUUGGGUAUAAACCCGGGAAACUGGGUAUAAUACCCGAUAGGUCUCGAUUGCUGGAAUGCAUCGAGAUUUAAAGCUCCGGCGCCUAAGGAUGGGUCUGCGGCCUAUCAGGUAGUAGUGGGUGUAGCGUACCUACUAGCCUACGACGGGUACGGGUUGUGAGAGCAAGAGCCCGGAGAUGGAUUCUGAGACACGAAUCCAGGCCCUACGGGGUGCAGCAGGCGCGAAAACUUUACAAUGCUGGCAACAGCGAUAAGGGAACCUCGAGUGCCAGGUUACAAAUCUGGCUGUCGAGAUGCCAAAAAGCAUUUCAUAGCAAGGGCCGGGCAAGACCGGUGCCAGCCGCCGCGGUAACACCGGCGGCUCGAGUGGUAACCGUUAUUAUUGGGUCUAAAGGGUCUGUAGCCGGCCGGAUAAGUCUCUUGAGAAAUCUGGCAGCUUAACUGUCAGGCUUUCAGGAGAUACUGUCUGACUCGAGGCCGGGAGAAGUGAGAGGUACUUCAGGGGUAGGGGUGAAAUCUUGUAAUCCUUGAAGGACCUCCAGUGGCGAAGGCGUCUCACCAGAACGGACCUGACGGCAAGGGACGAAAGCUAGGGGCACGAACCGGAUUAGAUACCCGGGUAGUCCUAGCCGCAAACGAUACUCGCUAGGUGUCGGCCACGGUGCGACCGUUGUCGGUGCCGUAGGGAAGCCGUGAGGCGAGCCACCUGGGAAGUACGGCCGCAAGGCUGAAACUUAAAGGAAUUGGCGGGGGAGCACCACAACGGGUGGAGCUUGCGGUUUAAUUGGAUUCAACGCCGGA
RNAcentral lists this ribosomal RNA (914 nucleotides) under uncultured archaeon. RNAcentral describes it as "bacterial SSU rRNA". It matches the Rfam family "Archaeal small subunit ribosomal RNA", at positions 1 to 922 of the family's 1478-position model. The record is from RNAcentral.